RNAcentral lists this ribosomal RNA (650 nucleotides) under uncultured bacterium. Its description in RNAcentral is "bacterial SSU rRNA". It matches the Rfam family "Bacterial small subunit ribosomal RNA", at positions 60 to 704 of the family's 1533-position model. The record is from RNAcentral.
AGUCGAGCGGUAACAGAAAGUAGCUUGCUACUUUGCUGACGAGCGGCGGACGGGUGAGUAAUGCUUGGGAACAUGCCUUGAGGUGGGGGACAACAGUUGGAAACGACUGCUAAUACCGCAUAAUGUCUACGGACCAAAGGGGGCUUCGGCUCUCGCCUUUAGAUUGGCCCAAGUGGGAUUAGCUAGUUGGUGAGGUAAUGGCUCACCAAGGCAACGAUCCCUAGCUGGUUUGAGAGGAUGAUCAGCCACACUGGAACUGAGACACGGUCCAGACUCCUACGGGAGGCAGCAGUGGGGAAUAUUGCACAAUGGGCGAAAGCCUGAUGCAGCCAUGCCGCGUGUGUGAAGAAGGCCUUCGGGUUGUAAAGCACUUUCAGUCAGGAGGAAAGGGUGUGAGUUAAUACCUCAUAUCUGUGACGUUACUGACAGAAGAAGCACCGGCUAACUCCGUGCCAGCAGCCGCGGUAAUACGGAGGGUGCGAGCGUUAAUCGGAAUUACUGGGCGUAAAGCGUACGCAGGCGGUUUGUUAAGCGAGAUGUGAAAGCCCCGGGCUCAACCUGGGGAACUGCAUUUCGAACUGGCAAACUAGAGUGUGAUAGAGGGUGGUAGAAUUUCAGGUGUAGCGGUGAAAUGCGUAGAGAUCUGAAGG